Molecule: long non-coding RNA, 248 nt
Filed under: Bos taurus (domestic cattle)
Lineage: Eukaryota; Metazoa; Chordata; Mammalia; Artiodactyla; Bovidae
Description: long non-coding RNA NONBTAT013758
Source: RNAcentral
CAGUUGGUUCUUCUGCAAGGCUGUGAUACCUGCAAAGAUAUGUAAAAUCUAAUUUUUUUUUCUUUUGCUACAGUCUUUAGACUAAGCAUGCAAGACAUACGACUAAGUGCAACUGAGUGAAAUGACUAAUCUACCAGAUUUUUAUCCUCUUUUGAAUACCAAACUAACCAGCAACCACUCCGUUCAGAAGCUCAGGGCCCCCUUCCCAUGACCCUGUCUGGCUACUGCCUGCACAUCAUGACGCUGCC